UUAAAUUGAAGAGUUUGAUCAUGGCUCAGAUUGAACGCUGGCGGCAGGCCUAACACAUGCAAGUCGAACGGUAACAGGAAUCAGCUUGCUGAUUCGCUGACGAGUGGCGGACGGGUGAGUAAUGUCUGGGAAACUGCCUGAUGGAGGGGGAUAACUACUGGAAACGGUAGCUAAUACCGCAUAACGUCGCAAGACCAAAGAGGGGGACCUUCGGGCCUCUUGCCAUCGGAUGUGCCCAGAUGGGAUUAGCUAGUAGG
Molecule: ribosomal RNA, 257 nt
Filed under: Escherichia coli
Lineage: Bacteria; Pseudomonadati; Pseudomonadota; Gammaproteobacteria; Enterobacterales; Enterobacteriaceae
Description: partial 16S ribosomal RNA
Rfam family: Bacterial small subunit ribosomal RNA
Source: RNAcentral